UCAGUCGUAUUGUUAUGUAAUUUUCAUGAAGGCAUAUUUUUUAUCCAAAAUGAAAAUGACAUUUUUUGCUCAAUAAAUUAAGUCCGGGAGGAUAUAUUAUGCUGAACUAUUGUUUGUAGGCAUCGUAUGUGCAUACCUUACUUGAGAUCGCAAAUUACUUAUUUAAAAAAAAGAUACAAAUGACCCAUACGACAGGUUCUUGAACAAUCCAAGACCACGUUUACCGUAUCGAGCAAGGCCUCAAAGCCAGGCAAUUGAAUACGAACACAAGCGACAAAUGUACGAUGUCCCUAAGUUUGACGAGCCUUUGGCGGAACCAGUCUAUAGAGUUACGGUGAUAUACGAAGAUCCCCGACCAAUCACAAUCGAGAGGCCAUACAUAGUUCUGACUGAACCCUGGUUGGAAGAUCUCCAUGACAGAUAUGCAGCUCAGGAACUGCCAAAUGCGACGUCAUACAGAGGAUUCAGUAAUGACGACGAGGAACUGCCGGUACAUCCAAUUUUUAAGCGCAAAAAUAGCGGUGAACCGGUAAUGGUCGAUGAUUUGCCCGGAUAUAUAAUCAGAACCGGCCAUUACGUUGCGAUGCAUCUCGAUCAGAAGUCAGAAUAUUUAACUGGUCGAAAUCAAUAUAGAAGGUCCAAUCUCACACAGUGGAAACGAGAACACCUGGACCACGUGCUCUACCAUGGUAACAACCGAGUCACCGAAAUCUACGGAGAUUCACGAACGGGAGGGAUUACGACUCAUGUAUACCGGUAGCUGGUAUAGCGGACAUGCUUUCGACCUCGAACAAACGGCUACGAGUACGGUUAAAUUUAAUACCAACAUGUAUAACACCAACAACAA
This is an RNA transcript of Dreissena polymorpha, 847 nucleotides long. RefSeq lists it as uncharacterized. NCBI's taxonomy places the organism in Eukaryota, Metazoa, Mollusca, Bivalvia, Myida, Dreissenidae. The record is from RefSeq and is a predicted model, not a curated record. The transcript has 5 exons.